ACUACCCUUAAACCUAAUUUUAUCAUAAUCCUAAUCCCAAAUUGGGAAAAACCCUAACCUUGAAACCCUACCCGGUUACCCGUUCUUCCCGUAUGUCCCAGCAGCCACAACACACACGGUUUCCCCAAAGUGAAUGAAAGAAAGAAAGAAGGGGCAAGUAGGGGAAGGGGCCGCGGAGGAAGGGAGGAAGAAAGGAAGAAGGCCGUGCUGGCGUGCUAAGCUGCACUGCCACCACCGUGUCACCGCCGACCCAUGAAGCUGCCGCCAGAACUGCGUGAAGGACAGAGGGAAUCCGAGAAAGAAGGAGAGCGCCAGAAGAGGGAGGAGCUCGUGCCCUCCUCGCGAAUCGCCGCUGCCUCGCGUCGUUAUCCUCGCCGUGAAUCCCGUUGACCCUGUUGCAGCCGUCUGCGCCGUCAUCCUUGCCACGAAGACAGCACCGCCGUUGCCAUCGUUGCACGAGGAAAGGAAGAGGCUCACAGUGGAGAACAUGACGCGAAGAGAGGACGGAGCAUGAGAGGGAGACAAAGGCCGCAUUAGAGUUGUUCUGCCGCCUACGCCGUGCCCUACCACCGUCGCCGAGCUUCCAUAGCUGCCGCGUUUCACCGCGGUUGAGGGCGUCUCCACCACCGCAUGUUGGCCGACGAUAUUGCCGAUCUGCUGCUCCGCAGUGCCUAGCUGGAGCUUCUGUUGCUGUUGCCGGAGAUCGGUGGUUGCCGAAAAAUACCACUGUUGUUGCUGUUGAAGGAGGGAGAAGCCGUGCCGCUGUUCUGGCCGCUAGGAGGAGUCUCUUGGCCACUAGAAACACCACCGGGGAUGCCGUUACUUGGCUCAGUCACUUCUUCUUGGUUGCGCCAUCGUCUGGGUCGCGUGGAGGGAGAAAGAGCCACUGGGUGUUGCCGCACCUGGCCUCCGCCGCCUCUGUCACCAGAAACAGCCACCGAGUCCUCUAUUUUGGGUUGUGGUUUUGUGCUUGCAUUUUUGUGCUCGGAGUUUGCAGCUGCCUUGUUUUGUCAUUCCAGAUUUAGCAACCGAGGUUGCUUGUUGUGAUUUAGAGCUAUUUAUGCUGGCACGAAAGUGUGUGGGGCUGUGCUUUGAAGCUGCAGUUGAUUUUGGGUCGAGACGAAAGGCUUUCGGAGAGGCAUUUGGGUUAUGGUUUCAAUUUGUCGAGUUUCCUUGAGAUAUGAAAAUGAGGUGACUGUUGGAUUUAGCUUGCUCUUGAACUGAUUUGGAUUUGGACCGUUGAAAAGGAUUGUGGAACGGUUUAGUUGGGACCCGAACCGGGUGGCAAAGUCCAAGUUUUAGGAGAGGUGCUGCCGAAAUUCCGAUAAAUUCUGGGAUUUUAUUAAAAUGCUAUUUGGAAGAUUAUGAGUUAAACACUUCUACUAUUUUAUUUGAAUUAUUAAGAAGGGGAUGACUUAUGCUUUUGAAAUGAAUUAUUAAAAAGGAAGUUGUGAUU
Non-coding RNA from Arachis ipaensis, 1456 nucleotides. Lineage: Eukaryota; Viridiplantae; Streptophyta; Magnoliopsida; Fabales; Fabaceae. The record is from RefSeq and is a predicted model, not a curated record.